RNAcentral lists this long non-coding RNA (278 nucleotides) under Cicer arietinum (chickpea). RNAcentral's name for it is "long non-coding RNA (CARI_LNC002498)". Lineage: Eukaryota; Viridiplantae; Streptophyta; Magnoliopsida; Fabales; Fabaceae. The record is from RNAcentral.
UGUUUUAGUGUCAACCACUCUUAGAGGUUGUGCAAUAAGGCGGGGGAGAGACUAUAAGAGAGACGAUUGAUAAGAUAUAGAAAAGCGACAACCCGAUAAAUCCGUCUGCUGGAAAUCUGUUUGCUGGGAACCGUCACCCGUCAAACCUAUCACUCUUUGUAUCUGCCGCCUCACACAGUUGGAGAUGUUCCUUAAAUCAACACCCACCAUUUUCUUCAAAUCCAUUAUUUUCAACCAAGUUCGACUAAACCCGAACCGGUGUCCACCCUAUAAGUAGC